UAUUAUUUUGCCCAGGCCGCUGGCUACGUCAACGAUAAAACGCUGUGACUAGAUAGAAAGUACAUGUUUACAAGUUGGAUGACAAAAAAAAAAGCUAGAAAAGGAUAAGAUGAGGAGAAGGAUGGAAAGGAAAGAGGAUGUUGGCAAAUGAAGGUGACCAAAUCCCAAUAUUUAUGCACAAAAAUCAACACACCUCCAACAUGGCUGUUUUGUAGGGUUACAACGGGGUAACGGAGGGUUAGGGCUCGACCCCGGAGAGGGAGCCUGAGAAAUGGCUACCACUUUUAAGGAAGGCAGCAGGCGCGCAAAUAACCCAAUCCCGACACACGGGGAGGUAGUGACAAUAAAUAUUGAUACAAGGCUCUUAUGGGCCUUUUCCUCUAUGGAACCUCAUGUUCUUUACUGAGUAUGACAGGGAAAUAGGACUUUUACUUUGAAAAAAUUAGAGUGCUCCGGGGCAGGCCUAUGCUCAAAUAGUGCAGCAUGGAAUAAUAAAAUAGGACGUGUGGUUCUAUUUUGUUGGCUUCUAGGACCGCCGUAAUGAUUAAUAGGGACAGUCGGGGGCAUCAGUAUUCAACUGUCAGAGAUGAAAUUCUUGGAUCUGCUAAAGACUAACUAACUACUGUGAAAGCAUUUGCCAAGGAUAUUUUUAUUGAUAAGGAACAAAAGUUAGGGGAUCAAAGACAAUUAGAUACCAUCUUAGUCUUAAACAUAAACUAUACUAACUAGGGAUAAGAUAUUGUUUUUUUUGAUUCAUUCGGCACCUUUCAAGAAAUCAAAGUGGUUAGGCUCUAGGGGGAGUAUGAUCACAAGGCUGAAACUUAAAGAAAUUGACAGAAGGGCACCACCAGGAAUGGAACCUGUGGCUUAAUUUGACUCAACACGGGGAAACUCACCAGGUCCAGACAUAGUGAAGAUUGACAGAUUGAGAGCUCUUUCUUGAUUUUGUGGGUGGUGGUGCAUAGCCAUUCUUAGUUGGCGGAGUGAUUUGUCUGCUUAAUUGCGAUAACGAAAGAGACCCUAAUCUGCUAAAUAGCCCGUAUUGCUUUGGCAGUACGCUGGCUUCUUAGAGGGACUAUCGGCUCAAGCUGAUGGAAGUUUGAGGCAAUAACAGGUCUGUGAUGCCCUUAGAUGUUCUCUGGGCCGCACGUGUGUUAUGCUGACACAGCCAGCGAGUCUUUCCUUGGCAGAGAUAUGUCCGAGUAAUCUUGUUAAACUGUGUCGUUCUGGGGAUGGAGCAUUGCAAUUAUUGUUCUUCAACGAGGAAUCUCUAGUAAGUGCGUCAUCAGCUUGCGUUGAUUAUAUCUAUGGUCUUUGUACAUAUCACCCAUCACUACUACCAAUUGGAUGGCUCAGUGAGAUUUCCGGAUUGGCUUAGAAGAGUGGGAAACUACUUUUCAUAGCCGAGAAGCUACUCAAACUCGAUCAUCUAGAGGAAGUAAAAGUUGUAGCAAGGUCUCCGUUGGUGAACCAGCGGAGG
This 1480-nucleotide ribosomal RNA is filed under the name Ambrosiella xylebori. Its description in RNAcentral is "SSU rRNA". It matches the Rfam family "Eukaryotic small subunit ribosomal RNA". Lineage: Eukaryota; Fungi; Ascomycota; Sordariomycetes; Microascales; Ceratocystidaceae. The record is from RNAcentral.